UUGGGCACUGUCUCAACGAGAGACUCGGUGAAAUCAUAGUACCUGUGAAGAUGCAGGUUACCCGCGACAGGACGGAAAGACCCCGUGGAGCUUUACUGUAGCCUGAUAUUGAAAUUCGGCACAGCUUGUACAGGAUAGGUAGGAGCCUUUGAAACGUGAGCGCUAGCUUACGUGGAGGCGCUGGUGGGAUACUACCCUAGCUGUGUUGGCUUUCUAACCCGCACCACUUAUCGUGGUGGGAGACAGUGUCAGGCGGGCAGUUUGACUGGGGCGGUCGCCUCCUAAAAGGUAACGGAGGCGCUCAAAGGUUCCCUCAGAAUGGUUGGAAAUCAUUCAUAGAGUGUAAAGGCAUAAGGGAGCUUGACUGCGAGACCUACAAGUCGAGCAGGGUCGAAAGACGGACUUAGUGAUCCGGUGGUUCCGCAUGGAAGGGCCAUCGCUCAACGGAUAAAAGCUACCCCGGGGAUAACAGGCUUAUCUCCCCCAAGAGUUCACAUCGACGGGGAGGUUUGGCACCUCGAUGUCGGCUCAUCGCAUCCUGGGGCUGUAGUCGGUCCCAAGGGUUGGGCUGUUCGCCCAUUAAAGCGGUACGCGAGCUGGGUUCAGAACGUCGUGAGACAGUUCGGUCCCUAUCCGUCGUGGGCGUAGGAAAUUUGAGAGGAGCUGUCCUUAGUACGAGAGGACCGGGAUGGACAUACCUCUGGUGUACCAGUUGUCGUGCCAACGGCAUAGCUGGGUAGCUAUGUGUGGACGGGAUAAGUGCUGAAAGCAUCUAAGCAUGAAGCCCCCCUCAAGAUGAGAUUUCCCAACUUCGGUUAUAAGAUCCCUCAAAGAUGAUGAGGUUAAUAGGUUCGAGGUGGAAGCAUGGUGACAUGUGGAGCUGACGAAUACUAAUCGAUCGAAGACUUAAUCAA
This 914-nucleotide ribosomal RNA is filed under the name Staphylococcus aureus. RNAcentral describes it as "partial 23S ribosomal RNA". It matches the Rfam family "Bacterial large subunit ribosomal RNA", at positions 2009 to 2925 of the family's 2925-position model. The record is from RNAcentral. Lineage: Bacteria; Bacillati; Bacillota; Bacilli; Caryophanales; Staphylococcaceae.